This 454-nucleotide ribosomal RNA is filed under the name Streptococcus mutans. RNAcentral's name for it is "bacterial SSU rRNA". It matches the Rfam family "Bacterial small subunit ribosomal RNA", at positions 28 to 461 of the family's 1533-position model. Lineage: Bacteria; Bacillati; Bacillota; Bacilli; Lactobacillales; Streptococcaceae. The record is from RNAcentral.
GACGAACGCUGGCGGCGUGCCUAAUACAUGCAAGUGGGACGCAAGGGAACACACUGUGCUUGCACACCGUGUUUUCUUGAGUCGCGAACGGGUGAGUAACGCGUAGGUAACCUGCCUAUUAGCGGGGGAUAACUAUUGGAAACGAUAGCUAAUACCGCAUAAUAUUAAUUAUUGCAUGAUAAUUGAUUGAAAGAUGCAAGCGCAUCACUAGUAGAUGGACCUGCGUUGUAUUAGCUAGUUGGUAAGGUAAGAGCUUACCAAGGCGACGAUACAUAGCCGACCUGAGAGGGUGAUCGGCCACACUGGGACUGAGACACGGCCCAGACUCCUACGGGAGGCAGCAGUAGGGAAUCUUCGGCAAUGGACGAAAGUCUGACCGAGCAACGCCGCGUGAGUGAAGAAAGGUUUUUCGGGAUCGUAAAGCUUCUGUUGUAAAGUCAAAGAAACGUGUGUG